CCUACGGGAGGCAGCAGUGGGGAAUAUUGGGCAAUGGGCGCAAGCCUGACCCAGCAAUGCCGCGUGAAGGACGAAGGCUUUCGGGUUGUAAACUUCUUUUCUCAGGGACGAAGCAUGUGACGGUACCUCAGGAAUAAGCUACGGUUAACUACGUGCCGGACGCCGCGGUAACACGCAGGGGGCAAGCGUUAUCCGGAUUUACUGGGUGUAAGGGGUGUGUAGGCGGGAAGGUAAGUCAGCUGUGAAAGCCAUGGGCUAAACCGGUGCCCUGCCAUUGAAACUGUUUUUCUUGAGUGCUGGAGAGGCAGGAGGAAUGCGUGGUGUAGCGGUGAAAUGCGUAGAUAUUAGAAAGAACACCGAUUGCGAAGGCAGUCUACUGGACAGCAACUGACGCUGAGGCACGAAAGCGUGGGGAGCAAACAGGAUUAGAUACCCGAGUAGUC
This 443-nucleotide ribosomal RNA is filed under the name uncultured bacterium. RNAcentral's name for it is "partial 16S ribosomal RNA". It matches the Rfam family "Bacterial small subunit ribosomal RNA", at positions 338 to 795 of the family's 1533-position model. The record is from RNAcentral.